AGAAUCAACGCUGGCGGCGUGCCUAACACAUGCAAGUCGAACGAGAAAGUGGAGCAAUCCAUGAGUAAAGUGGCGACCGGGUGAGUAACACGUGACUAACCUACCUUCGAGUGGGGGAUAACCUCGGGAAACCGGGGCUAAUACCGCAUAACAUCUUUGGAGUGGAAAUUUCGGAGAUCAAAGGGGCAAUUCGCUUGAAGAGGGGGUCGCGGCUGAUUAGCUAGUUGGCGGGUAACGCCCACCAAGGCUUAGAUCGGUA
This 259-nucleotide ribosomal RNA is filed under the name uncultured bacterium. Its description in RNAcentral is "partial small subunit ribosomal RNA". It matches the Rfam family "Bacterial small subunit ribosomal RNA", at positions 26 to 285 of the family's 1533-position model. The record is from RNAcentral.